Molecule: small nucleolar RNA, 117 nt
Filed under: Pan troglodytes (chimpanzee)
Lineage: Eukaryota; Metazoa; Chordata; Mammalia; Primates; Hominidae
Description: Small nucleolar RNA U3
Rfam family: Small nucleolar RNA U3
About the family: Small nucleolar RNAs (snoRNAs) are involved in the processing and modification of rRNA in the nucleolus. There are two main classes of snoRNAs: the box C/D class, and the box H/ACA class. U3 snoRNA is a member of the box C/D class.
Source: Rfam by way of RNAcentral
AAGACUAUGCUUUCAGGGAUCAUUUCUAUAGUUUGUUACUAGGGAAGUUUCUCAGAACGUGUAAAGCACCGAACAACAACAACAAAAAAAACAAUUCAAGAAUAAAAUCUGAGCAGC